GGCAAAUUAUAUAGCUCUAAAGUGAGUACAUCCUGCCAGAUCACGAUAAAGUAAAGAGUACAGAUCUGAAGAAAUAUCUCCUACAGAUGUCCAAAGAAACUCCCCAGAGUGUCGUGCGACGAAAGAGGCGACCCAGUCUGCUGCCCUGUUCGCCUCCCGAUACACGUGGGCUACCUGGAAGCCACCGAACUCCUGAGCCAGUCUCCGAAUCUCU
This 214-nucleotide long non-coding RNA is filed under the name Phoenix dactylifera (date palm). RNAcentral describes it as "long non-coding RNA (PDAC_LNC023055)". Lineage: Eukaryota; Viridiplantae; Streptophyta; Magnoliopsida; Arecales; Arecaceae. The record is from RNAcentral.